GGACUUCUGAAGAGUCCCAUAGUAGGACGAAAUGAUCAUCCAGUAU
Schistosoma curassoni is the source of this 46-nucleotide non-coding RNA. The record is from Rfam. NCBI's taxonomy places the organism in Eukaryota, Metazoa, Platyhelminthes, Trematoda, Strigeidida, Schistosomatidae.